UGGGGAAUAUUGCACAAUGGGCGCAAGCCUGAUGCAGCCAUGCCGCGUGUAUGAAAAAGGCCUUCGGGUUUUAAAGUACUUUCAGCGGGGGGGAAGGAAGUAAAGUUAAUACCUUUGCUCAUGGACGUUACCCGCAGAAGAAGCACCGGCUAACUCCUUGCCAGCAGCCGCGGUAAUACGGAGGGUGCAAGCGUUAAUCGGAAUUACUGGGCGUAAAGCGCACGCAGGCGGUUUGUUAAGUCAGAUGUGAAAUCCUCGGGCUCAACCUGGGAACUGCAUCUGAUACUGGCAAGCUUGAGUCUCGUAGAGGGGGGUAGAAUUCCAGGUGUAGCGGUGAAAUGCGUAGAGAUCUGGAGGAAUACCGGUGGCGAAGGCGGCCCCCUGGACGAAGACUGACGCUCAGGUGCGAAAGCGUGGGGAGCAAACAGG
This 429-nucleotide ribosomal RNA is filed under the name Chloroflexota bacterium. Its description in RNAcentral is "Chloroflexi bacterium partial 16S ribosomal RNA". It matches the Rfam family "Bacterial small subunit ribosomal RNA", at positions 355 to 776 of the family's 1533-position model. Lineage: Bacteria; Bacillati; Chloroflexota. The record is from RNAcentral.